RNAcentral lists this ribosomal RNA (879 nucleotides) under Triticum aestivum (bread wheat). Its description in RNAcentral is "partial small subunit ribosomal RNA". The record is from RNAcentral. Lineage: Eukaryota; Viridiplantae; Streptophyta; Magnoliopsida; Poales; Poaceae.
AUGAAUCACUCUGUAAUUUCGGUUUUCUCAUGGAAUGUAAGGGGGAUUGGUGAACCCACUAAAUGCUCAAACAUUCUCGCUGAACUAAUAGCCAUUAACCCUCACCUUGUAUUACUUCAAGAGUCUAAGCUUCAAUCCAUGCCAGAACAGAAGUUAUGUUCCUUCAUCCCAUGCUCGCUGGACCACUAGGUCUACUUACCCAUGGACGGCUCAGCAGGGGGAUCUGCCUCGGCGGCCAACUUAGCACUCCUAAACAUUGUUUCACACACAAACCACACUUACUCAAUAACGCUCAUCAUUAAGACUCCGGCCCUCGGUCAGAAUAUUACUGUCACAAAUAUCUAUGCACCCUCCUGUCACUCUCUCAGAGAAGACUUCCUUGACGAACUAAAAGCGAUUAAGCAAGACGACUCCACUCCCUGGCUAAUUCUAGGAGAUUUUAAUCUACUUAGAUUUUCGUCCGACAAAAACAAUAGCAACUUCCGCCAACACGAGGUGAAUGCCUUCAAUGACAACCUAAACGAGCUAGCCCUCUUAGAACUUCCGCUCCUCGACUGACGCUUCACAUGGUCAAACAAUAGAACCUCUGCUGCCUUGGAACGUAUCGAUCGUGCUUUCUUUAACCUCGCUUGGAAUGACGCUUUCCCAAACACCACUCUAUUAUCACUCACACGAUUCACCUCAGAUCACGUCCCUCUUCUAGUGCACAUCAACAUGAAGCUUCCCCGCUCCAAUUUUUUCAAAUUUGAACCCGGUUGGGCCGCAUUCCCGGCUUGCGGGAAGAUUGUCCAACGCUGCUGGACCACUGGCACCCCACUCGAAAAUCCCGCCGCAGCUCUCUCAGCCUCUCUCGAAAAAACAAUAGGGGGCCUUAAAUGA